This 1218-nucleotide long non-coding RNA is filed under the name Triticum aestivum (bread wheat). The record is from RNAcentral. Lineage: Eukaryota; Viridiplantae; Streptophyta; Magnoliopsida; Poales; Poaceae.
UAUGGAGGGAGGGGUGGAAACCGUGGAAAACUCGUCUCCGUGAUUGAGCGGGAGAGUAAGUAGUAUAGGACAUUAUCCAUUGUUAGGGAACGGUUGUAAUGGUAGUGAGAAUGUAGAAUCGUCUGUGGAGCGGACCUGGGAGUGGCAAGCAUAAGGGACGAAGACGGGGAAACAUGUCGGAUGCGAUCAUACCAGCACUAAAGCACCGGAUCCCAUCAGAACUCCGAAGUUAAGCGUGCUUGGGCGAGAGUAGUACUAGGAUGGGUGACCUCCUGGGAAGUCCUCGUGUUGCAUUCCUUUUAUAAUUAUUUUUUGCGCCUUGUGACAAACAUGUUGCACGUGCGCGAUAUAUAUUAAUCCCGUUAUAUUAUGUUUGACGUUUGCGAUAUGUUUAAGCUCGAUGCUCAUUGCUCGCGCGUCUUGGGGCGGCUUUGUGGCGCGAAGAGCGCGUUCUGAAAGGGGUGGAAAAAACUCGUGUUGCUGCGGUAUGGAGGGAGGGGUGGAAACCGUGGAAAACUCGUCUCCGUGAUUGAGCAGGAGAGUAAGUAGUAUAGGACAUUAUCCAUUGUUAGGGAACGGUUGUAAUGGUAGUGAGAAUGUAGAAUCGUCUUUGGAGCGGACCUGGAAGUGGAAAGCAUAAGGGACGAAGACGGGGAAACAUGUCGGAUGCGAUCAUACCAGCACUAAAGCACCGGAUCCCAUCAGAACUCCGAAGUUAAGCGUGCUUGGGCGAGAGUAGUACUAGGAUGGGUGACCUCCUGGGAAGUCCUCGUGUUGCAUUCCUUUUAUAAUUAUUUUUUGCGCCUUGUGACAAACAUGUCGCACGUGCGCGAUAUAUAUUAAUCCCGUUAUAUUAUGUUUGACGUUUGCGAUAUGUUUAAGCUCGAUGCUCAUUGCUCGCGCGUCUUGGGGCGGCUUUGUGGCGCGAAGAGCGCGUUCUGAAAGGGGUGGAAAAAACUCGUGUUGCUGCGGUAUGGAGGGAGGGGUGGAAACCGUGGAAAACUCGUCUCCGUGAUUGAGCGGGAGAGUAAGUAGUAUAGGACAUUAUCCAUUGUUAGGGAAUGGUUGUAAUGGUAGUGAGAAUGUAGAAUCGUCUUUGGAGCGGACCUGGGAGUGGAAAGCAUAAGGGACGAAGACGGGGAAACAUGUCGGAUGCGAUCAUACCAGCACUAAAGCACCGGAUCCCAUCAGAACUCUGAAGUUAAGCGUGCUUGGGCG